This 253-nucleotide ribosomal RNA is filed under the name uncultured bacterium. RNAcentral's name for it is "partial 16S ribosomal RNA". It matches the Rfam family "Bacterial small subunit ribosomal RNA", at positions 524 to 776 of the family's 1533-position model. The record is from RNAcentral.
UACGUAGGGUGCAAGCGUUGUCCGGAAUUAUUGGGCGUAAAGAGCUUGUAGGCGGUUUGUCGCGUCUGCUGUGAAAUUUCGGGGCUCAACCCCGAACUUGCAGUGGGUACGGGCAGACUAGAGUGUGGUAGUGGAGACUGGAAUUCCUGGUGUAGCGGUGAAAUGCGCAGAUAUCAGGAGGAACACCGAUGGCGAAGGCAGGUCUCUGGGCCACUACUGACGCUGAGGCGCGAGAGCGUGGGGAGCGAACCGG